ACCACGUGACUCCAUCAGUGAUGCAAUUUGGAUGAUUUCAUGCAAUGCAACACUACUUUGUGCAGAUCAUCAGCGCCUCAGCAAUGUGAGUAUUUAGUUCAUAUUAAGGCUGCUCUCGGGUAUUUCGGUGGAAGUUGAAAACCCCAUACUCAGGGAGUUGUCAAACUUUCAGUCCUUAGUGAAACAGUGCAGCCCUGGUCAGACUAAAAACCUUGGAAACUGGACUAUUGAUUUGGUAGGUUGUAAGAGACGACAGUUGGGACAGGAUUUCAUACUGUUUUCCAGCUUCCUAUCUUGGAGUGGUGUGAGGUUAAUAUUUAAUUUUCAGAACUACUGUUUCCUGAGGACAAAGUAAUUUUGUCUUUCAGGAUUAUCCAUCAGGAGUUCCUUGUGAUCCCAGUAUUCCCGAAGAAUCUGUCAACACUGGUGCUGACUUUCUUACUAUACCACAGGCCUGUGAUAGAGGCACCUUAUAGAACACCCUCGAGAUUUCUGCCCUGCUGUGGGAAAGAUCAGAGCACGGUGGUAAACUAUGCUUGCGCGAAUCCCUGAUACAGAGGUGAAAGCAGCAGGUUCGACGAUGCUCCAGCAUGGACUGAGCUCCGCGGUGCCUGUGUCCCUGUCUCUGUUCCUCUGGCCGGGUGCUGCUUCAGGGAUCCCCCAGUUGGCAAGGGUGAUCAUCUGGGUCCAAAACUCCAGCUGCUUGUACAUGAAAGACCUUCAGCAGUUCUUCUGAUACUCUCUUUCUGGGUCUCUUCAUUCUUCAUCAUUAAAGGGCUGCUAAUGGAUUAAGGACAGUGGGUGGCUCUGCAGAAGCUACAUGGAAACAGGAAAGUACAGUAAACUUCGAACCACACACAAAAUGUAUUUGGAUACAGUCAGGUUUGAAAUUAAAGUACUGUCUGUCCUCC
Long non-coding RNA from Tyto alba (common barn owl), 911 nucleotides. RefSeq lists it as uncharacterized. The transcript is spliced from 3 exons. NCBI's taxonomy places the organism in Eukaryota, Metazoa, Chordata, Aves, Strigiformes, Tytonidae. The record is from RefSeq and is a predicted model, not a curated record.